This 115-nucleotide ribosomal RNA is filed under the name Rhizobiales bacterium 64-17. The record is from RNAcentral. Lineage: Bacteria; Pseudomonadati; Pseudomonadota; Alphaproteobacteria; Hyphomicrobiales. RNAcentral also lists the same sequence under 2 other names.
CCUGGUGGUUUUAGCGAGGAGCCUGAACCCGAUCCCAUCUCGAACUCGGCCGUUAAAUUCCUCAGCGCCAAUGGUACUAAGUCUCAAGGCUUGGAAGAGUAGGUCGCUGCCAGGU